This is a microRNA precursor of Cebus imitator (Panamanian white-faced capuchin), 98 nucleotides long. NCBI's taxonomy places the organism in Eukaryota, Metazoa, Chordata, Mammalia, Primates, Cebidae. The record is from Ensembl.
GUGCUUCCUGCGGGCUGAGCGCGGGCUGAGCGCUGCCCGAGCGCUGCCCGUCAGCGCUCAGAUUAAGGCUGACAGCGCCCUGCCUGGCGCGGCCGGCG